This 510-nucleotide ribosomal RNA is filed under the name uncultured bacterium. RNAcentral's name for it is "bacterial SSU rRNA". It matches the Rfam family "Bacterial small subunit ribosomal RNA", at positions 19 to 518 of the family's 1533-position model. The record is from RNAcentral.
AUGGCUCAGGAUGAACGCUAGCUACAGGCUUAACACAUGCAAGUCGAGGGGCAGCAUUGGGAUAGCUUGCUAUUCAGAUGGCGACCGGCGCACGGGUGAGUAACGCGUAUCCAACCUUCCUGCCAGUAGGGAACAGCCCGGCGAAAGUCGGAUUAAUGCCCUAUGUUCUUCAAUGCGGACAUCUAAGUUGAAGGAAAGAUUCAUCGCUGGCAGAUGGGGAUGCGUCCGAUUAGCUUGCCGGCGGGGUAACGGCCCACCGGGGCGACGAUCGGUAGGGGUUCUGAGAGGAAGGUCCCCCACACUGGUACUGAGACACGGACCAGACUCCUACGGGAGGCAGCAGUGAGGAAUAUUGGUCAAUGGGCGUAAGCCUGAACCAGCCAAGUAGCGUGCAGGAAUGACGGCCCUACGGGUUGUAAACUGCUUUUAUGCGGGGAUAAAGUGCGGCACGUGUGCCGCUUUGCAGGUACCGCAUGAAUAAGGACCGGCUAAUUCCGUGCCAGCAGCAGC